AACACAAAACUCCCUAGGUCAGCUGAUAGCUGUUAAAACAGAGAUUUGAACCCCAGAUUUCAAUCCCCAGAAGUCCUUGGUACUUCCCAGAAUUCCCUAUAAUCUCACCUGAGUCUCCACCUGGAUGAGAUCACAAUUUAUUAUUUAAAGGGCUCUCUGCCUCUCAAGAGCUCUCUUCCUCUACUCAGAUUGCAACAUGUAAGUAGGCUGUGAGUGGGCUAAUCAUGCCCUAGGCAUGUGGCUUAUUAUUUUGUAUCCUUGAUUUCUAAUAAUCUUUAAUAAACCUCAUAAAAUAUUAUACUUUUAUUACAAGAGACUAAUUUAAUUGUUACAUAGCUCAUGAAAACUUCAGGCCAGCGAAACCCAGAAAUAGACCCGUCAAAGAUACUUGCCUUCUAAUUAUUCAUUUAUGUUGUUGUUGUCUUAUCGAACAGAUAUGUCAGUAUCAUAUCAACCAAAACUAAGUAUUCCUGGAACCCAAGAGUGACAUCACAAAGAGCAGGACUACUGUGCGUUGCCAAGGAUAAUCAGAAAAUUUAAAAAUGAAGUCUUACAAAGAUUGUAGCUUCAAGAGAUUCAAGACCUUCCAGACUGGACCUCCAUCUACUCCUCACCAAUGAGAGAAGGAAAUUGUGGGGCAGAGGGAUAUUCCAGAAUGAGAAAGCUAUGGGCUUUGAGGAAACUUCCAUGUAAGAAGGCAGCUGAACUUUAAGAAAAUUGAAGAAGAAAGAGGAAUUCCUCAAGGUCACAAAGCCAAUGAGGAAUCAAAUUGGAUAUGCCUGAAAAAUAAUAAACAGCAGCAAGAAAAUUGAAGAAACUGGCA
Molecule: long non-coding RNA, 823 nt
Filed under: Monodelphis domestica (gray short-tailed opossum)
Lineage: Eukaryota; Metazoa; Chordata; Mammalia; Didelphimorphia; Didelphidae
Description: lncRNA (ENSMODG00000044941.1)
Source: RNAcentral